UACGAAGGGGGCUAGCGUUGCUCGGAAUCACUGGGCGUAAAGCGCACGUAGGCGGAUUGCUAAGUCAGGGGUGAAAUCCUGGAGCUCAACUCCAGAACUGCCUUUGAUACUGGCGAUCUUGAGUCCGGAAGAGGUGAGUGGAACUCCUAGUGUAGAGGUGGAAUUCGUAGAUAUUAGGAAGAACACCAGUGGCGAAGGCGGCUCACUGGUCCGGUACUGACGCUGAGGUGCGAAAGCGUGGGGAGCAAACAGG
Molecule: ribosomal RNA, 253 nt
Filed under: uncultured bacterium
Lineage: Bacteria
Description: partial 16S ribosomal RNA
Rfam family: Bacterial small subunit ribosomal RNA
Source: RNAcentral